UCCCUGGAGGACUAGUGGUUAGGCCUCGGCGCUCUCACCGUCACGGCCCGGCUUCAAUUCCCGGCCAGGGAA
Molecule: non-coding RNA, 72 nt
Organism: Pangasius djambal
Lineage: Eukaryota; Metazoa; Chordata; Actinopteri; Siluriformes; Pangasiidae
Source: the annotation of a GenBank genome assembly